Long non-coding RNA from Gallus gallus (chicken), 1137 nucleotides. NCBI's taxonomy places the organism in Eukaryota, Metazoa, Chordata, Aves, Galliformes, Phasianidae. The record is from Ensembl.
CACACUCACCCUUGUGGAGCUCAUAAUUCUAAGGAAUUCCUGAGGUCCUGAGCUAGUAAGUUGCCAUUGUGAGGCAAAGGUUCAAAAUCCAUCAAACUUGAGAGAAGCCUCCAGACCUGGCAAGACUUUCGGUUAGAAAGCGUGGGGCACAUGAAGGGCCUUCUAUCUUGUGGGUGAACAGCAAGAACCAACAAGCUGAGGAUACAACCCACUAAUCGAUUCUGUGCCUCAUUACACUUUCUAAUUCAGGAUCCCUGCUUAAUAUAGAGCUGUUCUUCAACAGAACUGUGAUAAGAUUUGUCUGUUGGUAUCAUGGGACUGGGAUAUGGGAAGAGCCAGAUUAGGAGAAGGAAGAAGAAAGCACGUCAUUGCUGCAAGGCACAGCUGGGUUGCUGUGUCCCACGGAGUAGGGGGACCUGCCAACUUCCCUGAAGGUCCACCAGGAGCUGCAUCUGACCUGAAAGGAGGCACUUCACAACAAGGUGCAUUCCACCCAGGGCCAUUCUCUCUCCUUGCUCACCAUCUUGGUGACGCUUUGAAAAAGGGACCAGUGAUGUCUCCUCUCACCCUGGCCAGUACAGCCAGUGCCUGGUGGUGACCAAGCCAUCUGCAUGACCAAGCAUGGAGCAGAUGGCCCAGGACCAGUCUGAAGGACAAAGUGGAGCUGGAUGUGUUCUGCUCUUCUAACAGGUAAAGCUGCAUCCAUCCAAUGCAAGAUGUGAUGCCUGACUUUUCUGGUGGUUCCCUACGCAUCCCUGAUGUGGGAAGAUGAUGAUAUGCUGGAAACGCACCAGAGGGAUACGUUCCUGAUUUGGAGUCCUGGAGAUAUGGACUAUGAAGAGCAAGAUCCUGAGACACAGAGCUUGUUUAAUUUCUGCUCGAUCCCCAGCAGAUGUGAGAGUGACAGAUGGAGAAGUAUUCAGUGACUCUUGGAAGCCUUUAAGAGACAACAGAUGCCUCCUAACUGUAGAUGAAUUUCUCAGAGGUGCAGAACAAAAGGACAAAAGAGAACAAGGAGCCAGCCCUGCUUUAUCAAGGUACUGAUGCAAACUGGAGCUGCAAAGGCAGAGCAGGCUGUGCUUGGGACGCCUGCAAACAUAAAAGAAGAUGCAGAGAAGGAAUGGACAAAGAAGUGAA